ACACGUCUACAUUAGAUACCCGUGUAGUCCCAGCCGUAAACUAUGCGCGUUAGGUGUAUCGGUGACCACGGGUUACCGAGGUGCCGAAGGGAAACCGUGAAACGUGCCGCCUGGGAAGUACGGUCGCAAGGCUGAAACUUAAAGGAAUUGGCGGGGAGCACCACAACGGGUGGAGCCUGCGGUUUAAUUGGACUCAACGCCGGGAAGCUCACCGGAUAAGACAGCGGAAUGAUUGCCGGGCUGAAGACUCUGCAUGACUAGCUG
Molecule: ribosomal RNA, 264 nt
Filed under: uncultured archaeon
Lineage: Archaea
Description: partial 16S ribosomal RNA
Rfam family: Archaeal small subunit ribosomal RNA
Source: RNAcentral